Molecule: long non-coding RNA, 413 nt
Organism: Patella vulgata (common limpet)
Lineage: Eukaryota; Metazoa; Mollusca; Gastropoda; Patellidae
Exons: 3
Source: RefSeq, a predicted model, not a curated record
UGGUUUGAGACUUGUCUUAAUGCAUUAAAAAACCCUGGAGAUAAAGUUGGUUCACGAGCUACUUGUGUUGAGCAGGAAACCUUGGCUUGGACACAAAAACAACUGUUGAAACUUAUUCCCUCACAGAAUGAUUCGUUAGAAGAAAUGCUGCCUUAUUUAGGAAUCAUAAAAAUUCCUUGUUUGCGUAUCAAAAAUACAGAUGAACAUUUUUUAUACACUCUACCUCAAUAUAUCAUGACAGAUAAUAAUAAAAUUGCCAAGUUUGUGUCUGCUAAAGAGAAUAUGAAGGAUAUGUUUAUAGUUGAAAGGACAUAUACAUUAAACUAUCCAAUCACAUCAAAUAUAUUUAUACAUAUUAUAAACAGAGCCAGUAAUUACAGUCGUAUACUCAUUUUAAACCAAUCAACAGCUGU